GGAUGUAGGGGUAUGGGUGCAGUGACCCAGCCCUGGGUGCUAAUGGAGGGCUGGGAAGCGUCCCUCCACAGCUCACUUCUGGCACCAGCCCCAGAGCAGUGGCAGCCAUGUCCCAGUGGGCAGCCGUGGCCAUGUCACCAUGGUGUCACCAUGGUUGUCAUUGUGACACGGCCGCCUCGAAGGGUACAAAGAGGGCUGCUCCCCCAGGUGCAGGUGCAGGUGAAGCCAUGGAGGCAGAGGGUGCGAAGGGGUCCCUGGAGCAUGCACAGGAGUCCCUGGAGAACAUGGCGGAGGUCUUGGCGCAGGUCGCUCAGGCAAGGGCUGGUGUGGAAGCGGCGCUGGAGGAGUUCCUAAAGUGCAAACGGAGACGUGCAGAGCUGGAAGAGGCUGUUGCUGAAAGAGCCAGUAUCAACAAGGCUCUGAGGGAGGAGAUUAAGAACCUCCAGGAGAGAAGGGAGGUUUUCAAAACGCAAACUGCCAGCAAUGCUGCACGACUGUGAGCAGCUCCCAGCCUCUUGUCAGAGCCCCCCGCGCCCCCAAGGCCUGGGGCACGGAGAAGGCAGAGGGUGCAGGGG
Molecule: long non-coding RNA, 575 nt
Filed under: Anser cygnoides (Swan goose)
Lineage: Eukaryota; Metazoa; Chordata; Aves; Anseriformes; Anatidae
Description: lncRNA (ENSACDG00005008825.1)
Source: RNAcentral